RNAcentral lists this ribosomal RNA (253 nucleotides) under uncultured bacterium. RNAcentral's name for it is "partial 16S ribosomal RNA". It matches the Rfam family "Bacterial small subunit ribosomal RNA", at positions 524 to 776 of the family's 1533-position model. The record is from RNAcentral.
UACGUAGGGUGCAAGCGUUGUCCGGAAUUAUUGGGCGUAAAGAGCUCAUAGGCGGUUUGUCGCGUCUGCUGUGAAAACUCGGGGCUUAACUCCGGGCCUGCAGUGGGUACGGGCAGACUAGAGUGCGGUAGGGGAGACUGGAAUUCCUGGUGUAGCGGUGAAAUGCGCAGAUAUCAGGAGGAACACCAAUGGCGAAGGCAGCUCGCUGGGACGGUACUGACGCUGAGACGCGAAAGCGUGGGGAGCAAACAGG